Molecule: transfer RNA, 86 nt
Filed under: Rickettsiales bacterium
Lineage: Bacteria; Pseudomonadati; Pseudomonadota; Alphaproteobacteria; Rickettsiales
Description: tRNA-Tyr
Rfam family: tRNA
About the family: Transfer RNA (tRNA) molecules are approximately 80 nucleotides in length. Their secondary structure includes four short double-helical elements and three loops (D, anti-codon, and T loops).
Source: RNAcentral
GGAGGGAUGGCCGAGCGGUCAAUGGCAGCAGACUGUAAAUCUGCCCGCAUAUGCGUACGUAGGUUCGAAUCCUACUCCCUCCACCA